RNAcentral lists this ribosomal RNA (254 nucleotides) under uncultured bacterium. RNAcentral describes it as "partial 16S ribosomal RNA". It matches the Rfam family "Bacterial small subunit ribosomal RNA", at positions 524 to 776 of the family's 1533-position model. The record is from RNAcentral.
UACGGUGGGAGCAAGCGUUGUUCGGAUUUACUGGGCGUAAAGGGCGCGUAGGCGGCCACCGCAAGUCGACUGUGAAAUCUCCGGGCUUAACCCGGAAAGGUCAGCCGAUACUGCGGGGCUAGAGUGCAGAAGGGGCAACUGGAAUUCUCGGUGUAGCGGUGAAAUGCGUAGAUAUCGAGAGGAACACCUGCGGCGAAGGCGGGUUGCUGGGCUGACACUGACGCUGAUGCGCGAAAGCUAGGGGAGCGAACGGG